GUGCCAGCCGGCCGCGGUAAUACGGAGGGUGCAAGCGUUGUUCGGAUUUAUUGGGCGUAAAGCGCGUGUAGGCGGUUUGUUAAGUCUGAUGUGAAAGCCCUGGGCUCAACCUGGGAAGUGCAUUGGAAACUGGCAGACUUGAAUACGGGAGAGGGUAGUGGAAUUCCUAGUGUAGGAGUGAAAUCCGUAGAUAUUAGGAGGAACACCGGUGGCGAAGGCGGCUACCUGGACCGAUAUUGACGCUGAGACGCGAAAGCGUGGGGAGCAAACAGG
This 273-nucleotide ribosomal RNA is filed under the name uncultured bacterium. Its description in RNAcentral is "partial 16S ribosomal RNA". It matches the Rfam family "Bacterial small subunit ribosomal RNA", at positions 505 to 776 of the family's 1533-position model. The record is from RNAcentral.